Molecule: transfer RNA, 76 nt
Filed under: Oscillospiraceae bacterium
Lineage: Bacteria; Bacillati; Bacillota; Clostridia; Eubacteriales; Oscillospiraceae
Description: tRNA-Gly
Rfam family: tRNA
About the family: Transfer RNA (tRNA) molecules are approximately 80 nucleotides in length.
Source: RNAcentral
GGGGCAGUAGCUCAGUUGGAAGAGCACGGGUCUUCCACACCCGGGGUCGCCGGUUCGAGGCCGGUUUGCCUCUCCA